AGCGAAAUUCCUUGUCGGGUAAGUCCGACCUGCACGAAUGGCGUAACGAUGGCCACACUGUCUCCUCCUGAGACUCAGCGAAGUUGAAAUGUUUGUGAAGAUGCAAUCUCCCCGCGGCUAGACGGAAAGACCCCAUGAACCUUUACUGUAGCUUUGCAUUGGACUUUGACGGGACUUGUGUAGGAUAGGUGGGAGGCUAUGAAACCGGGACGCCAGUUCCGGUGGAGCCACCCUUGAAAUACCACCCUGGUGUCGUCGAGGUUCUAACCCAGGCCUGUGAAUCCAGGUCGGGGACCGUGCAUGGUGGGCAGUUUGACUGGGGCGGUCUCCUCCCAAAAGGUAACGGAGGAGUACGAAGGUCACCUAGGUACGGUCGGACAUCGUACUGAUAGUGCAAUGGCAAAAGGUGGCUUGACUGCGAGACCCACACGUCGAGCAGGUGCGAAAAGCAGGUCAUAGUGAUCCGGUGGUUCUGUAUGGAAGGGCCAUCGCUCAACGGAUAAAAAGGUACUCUGGGG
RNAcentral lists this ribosomal RNA (518 nucleotides) under uncultured bacterium. RNAcentral describes it as "bacterial LSU rRNA". It matches the Rfam family "Bacterial large subunit ribosomal RNA", at positions 1958 to 2473 of the family's 2925-position model. The record is from RNAcentral.